UCCAUGUAAAAUCACAUUUUAUUAUGUAAAAAAUAAAACGAAUCAACUUACAGUAGACUUGAAAAAUAUAUAUAUUUCCAAUCAUUCAGAUUUGUACUCAGAUUUCUGUUAAGGUUGUAUUUGUCUGUGAAUCUUGGAGUAUCACUGUAUAACAGUACAAGUAUAGGCUGACUAUAAGGCACAGUAACAAAAAUAACUAAAAUGGUUAAAUCCCUGUAAAACAACACAUUUAUUUAAGUAUUAACAGUUCAAAACUUAUUUUAAUCAGCACCAUAAAAUACUUGUAGUGGCAAUUUAUGUACCAAACAUAUGUGCAACUACAAUAACGUACAGUACAGGAAUAUUUAAGCAUAUUUGCACUAUAUCAGUAACAUAGCAGUUGAAGCAGGUUGUAACAAUUACGCAUAAAAAAGCAGCUACUUUUCGGUAUUAAAUAACCCCCCCCCAAAAAAAAAAAAAAACUGCAACAACAACAACAACAGCAGAAACAUACAAUACAGAGAACGUGAAACAAAGUUGGAUUCCACAGUAGUGAAUUAUGUCGUAAAUUAGCACCACUCAAACCCCAUAGGCUGUCUGUAGAGCCAGGACUGAGGCCUCUAUUCAACACACACACACACCGAAAGGGGUCAGAACUUUGAAAUGUGAUGCCACAGUUGAGGUCAAGCCUCCUUUUUAACAAGUGUUAUCCCCACUGCACCUGUAUGGUAUAUUCACAGUCUCCCUAGCAACAACCACAGGGUCUCCAUAGCCACAACCACCAGGUCUCCAUAGCCACAACCACAGGGUCUCCAUAGCCACAACCACAGGGUCUAGGCAUAAGUUAGAAUGGUCUCAAAACAAGAUGCAUCGGCUCCUCUAUCCGUAACCAGUAUCAUAAAGUAGCAGGCCGGGACAUAGAGUUUUAUAGAGGGCCCACAUGCCACAAAGCCUAUUUUAGCAUGGACAGCACCAUUGAGGAGUUGCACCUUUUUUAAGUAGUCCACUUGGUGGGACUUUUUCAGUCACAGAAGCCAUUAUGGCAACAAUGCAAAUAUGUGUCAUCUGUCUAACUCUAUGGGCCGGUCUCAGCUGUUUAAAGAGAUUCUCCGGUACUUUUGUACACUUUUAGCCAGUAGUUCUGAAAGUAACACUCAUGAGCCAAAAGUAGCCAAAAGUAGUAAUUGCGUACCAUGUCACAUACAGUAUGUGCAGAUAUGUGCACCACGUCAUUGCUCUCUCUCUCUCUCUCUCUCUCUCUCUCUCUCUCUCUCGCGCUCUUUCACUGCUAUGUCCACUGAGCCGUUGGGCCCGCCAUUCAACCUAAUUGAAUAACUAGGCAGGCCUCUUGCUAGCUGUCACUCAAAUGCAAGGGGCUGAAGCUUAUUGUCUAGAACUCAAAUUGCUAGGAGGCUGGCCCACGAGGGGGGAAAUGUCGUGAAAAUGGCUUGGCACAGCUUCAAGAAAACAGUCACUUUCAAACUACGAAUUUCUGGCUAAUUGAGGCAAGACAGUAAUUCUGUUCAUAGAUUAUGCAUGUAUGAUCUACACAUUGACACAUCCAGCCCAAAGCGUGAGGUUUAAAAAAUACUUUAUUUUCGCCAAAGUACCGGAGCAUGUCUUUAACUGUGUUGUUUUCUUUGCAAGGCUGUCUUCAAUGUGUGAACAGUGUGACCUUUUAAAUGAAGACCUCACCACUGACGGCUCGUACCACAGAGACAUGCAUCGAUUACUGCACUGUGUGUGUGGGUAUGACACACACACACGGAACAGCCAGGGUGGUCGUCCGUCCUACAUGUUCUGAACACGUAGGUAAACAGUACCACGUUAGAAUGUUUGAUUGAUCAAUGGUUCCCUGCUCUGGAGGGUUGGGAACAUGGGACUCAGGAGUUCUGAGAGCUGGGCCGUUAGUUUUCUCUGUUCUAACCAGGACCCAUAUCAGCUUUUAUUCCAAUACUGGGGCCAGGCCUGGGGGCCAG
Coregonus clupeaformis (lake whitefish) is the source of this 1958-nucleotide long non-coding RNA. RefSeq lists it as uncharacterized. NCBI's taxonomy places the organism in Eukaryota, Metazoa, Chordata, Actinopteri, Salmoniformes, Salmonidae. The transcript has 2 exons. The record is from RefSeq and is a predicted model, not a curated record.